AAGUUCCUCUGUUAGAGCCUGUCCCUUCCGGUGGCGGGAGCGCUGAGGCUGCCGGCGAGUAUUGGGUGUGUGCUGAAUUGCUGCCGCUCCUCCGUAAGCAGAGCCGAGUCUGCUCUAUGGGCGGUUUCUUCUGCUCAGCGUGGUUGCGGACAUUGCUGGGAGGAGUGAGAGCGAAGAGGAAGUAGGCGUUAGUCUUCGGUACCUUUCUAACCAUAGCUCGGGCCGUGCAGUGAAAAUGGGCACGCUUAGUCGUGCUGGGCAUGCGCAUUCUUGCUGUACGGAAUUCCCGAGGCGGCUGCAUCAUCAUGGCGUUGAAAGUUUGGUGGGAAGUUUCUCCUGUUCUUUUUCUUUGUAAGUAAGGUAAGGGGCUGGGUGCUUGAGUGAGCGAAAGCCUGCUAGCCCUGGAACGCCUUCUAAGGACGUCCUUUCCCAGCCUCCCGCACAGCCUCUCCCCUCGAAGCCAUGUGCUUUGGGUACGUGUUGUGUACCAGACACUGCUUUCGAGCCCGGGCACCCAAGACGGUUAGAGGACACGAGUGCCCAGUUCUCAAGGCAUAUUCAUCCCCUUGGGUGGAGACAGACAAUAAACGCACUAACAGUGAUCAGCUUAGGGCUAAGGGAUAGUAAGAGAAUAAAAGGAGUGAUGCGACAAAGACAGGCGGUGGACGGAUUCCCAGUUAGACGAGGUAGUCAGGGUCGUCUCCUUCCAGCAAUGAUGUUUAAAGGCAUUAGGGAUGCUGCUGCGUGGCUUUCAUGGCCCUGAAAUGCUGGUUCUGCGUUGUUCGUGGCUGGUUAACAGAGCUGAGCACACAGUGUAGACAGGUUUGCUGCGUUUGCUCCCAGACUCAAAACUAGCGCCAGAAUGGAAAACUCUUAAUAGAAGGGCCAUGUGGGGUGAGGAAGUGCCCACACCAGAGUGUGUACCGCUAGAGCUGCUCCAUCAGGGCCCUGAGCGCUUAGGCCAAAGGCAUCUCUCCACGGAACCUAAGGAGUGCAGAGGGUGGGGAAGCCUAGUUGCCUUCCUCUGUGUGCCCUGCCUUCCCUUCUGGCCUCCUUUCCUUAUGGAUCCUGGGAUCUUCUUCUAGGUUAGGGCACCACAGAGCUUGUCUGCUAUAGUGGAGAGUAUGUCAGUGACAGGCCUCCCUUCUGUCAUUACAAAGCUGGUGGAAUACAUGUUUUUAAUAUUUAUUUUUGAAAGGCAGAGUUACAGAGAGAGAAAGAGAGAGAGAUCUUCCAUCCCCUGGUUCACUCCCCAAGUGGCUGCAAUGACCUGGGCAAAACCAGAAGACCAGAGCUUCUUCCAGGUCUCCCAUUUGGGUAUUGGGGCCCAGAAACUUGGGCCAUCUUCUGCUGCUUUCCCAUUCACAUUGGCAGGGAGCUGGACAGAAGUGGAGCAGCCAGGACUAAAACUUGCAGUUACAUGGGAUGCUAGUGCUACAGGUGGCGCCUUACCCCACUGUGCUAAGCUGAACCCAGGUGGUGUAUCUUAAUUUUGGUGACAGUUUGGUAUGGGCCCCAUGGUGCUAUAUGUCCUACAUAGUUGUGGCAACUUCAUGGAAUUGGCACAAGUGAUCACGACUGUGAUGUUAUAAGGAAUCCUGUGGCUUGUAGUGAAGGCGGAACUGAUGACAACAACGUCAUGUGUAAGUAACAUCACUGAGUAUGUGAACACAUGUUCUCUGGUGGGCCCCAGUGGGAUCCUUUAGUCAUCCCAGCUCGGGGGCUGAGAAAGGAGUUGAAAAGUUGUAGAGCUGUCACUCGCUAUGGUUCUUUUGUAGAUGUGGGGUGUUCACAGUGAAGGGACAUCCAGCAAACAGGCCUCCAGAGAGAACGAACACAAUGAGAUCCGGCAUUUGAUGGAUAAGCUGCCUUUUAGGAUCCUGGACCAAAUGUCCUAGAAAACUAGAUCUGAUGCAAAAGAAGUGGAAGCAGACAAAGCAAGGGUGAAGUAUUUGAGUAGUUGGAGAGGGAGAGUGCAGGAGAUGGUUGGGACUGGCUGGUGGGUUGGUGGGCUUUUUCCCUAAGAGUGGGCUUUGGAAAGUUCAUGGAAGCAUCAGAUUAAAAGGUACGUUGAUUUUGGUGUAAAAAGUUCCAAGUCUAUGCACGAAUUUUUCAUUACACGUAUUUUCUGUGCAGGUUGUGAAGGCCUUUGAUCGUCCCUCAUUUAACCUUUGUAAUGACACGGGAACACCAGACAGGGUGCUAGAGGAGGCAGAUUACUUCUUCAAGCUGCUUUGCAUCUGCAACUUGGAAUUUUCUGGGACAGUGGAAAGGCAGUGAAGGAAAACGUCUCAUCUCCUGCAUUAUGUUUUCCUUCCUUUGUUUGAUGCAUUAUGUGAGAAGCCUUAUUUAUCAACCAGCAGUGUCAGUUCAGUUACCUUGGCACUCCCCAUCAUCAGACAACUAUUUGUGAGAUUAAGCUGCUUGGCACCUGAUUCAUAGAUGUGCAUUCUUGAAGACCCUUCAGACAACGAGAAGGCAGCUGUCUGAAAACUGGAAGGAGGGUCCUCAGCAGAACCUGACUGCUGGCAUCCUGAUGGUAGACUUCCAGCCUCCAGAACUACUCAGGAUGACCUGGUCUGAUGUUAGUGUUUUAUGAGAUGUUCAUAUCCAACAGGAGGAUAACAAGGCCUUGCAGUAAAAUUUACAUACAAGAAAUUCAUAGAUCUGAACUACGGUAUUUGUUGAGUUUUGGUCAUUGCAUCCACAUGUGUAACACAAAUUUCUACCACUAUGGAGAAAUUUAUCAUUUUUUCAGAACCUUUCCUCACUUCUCUUUCCAGUCACUUUCCUUUCUGCUCCCUCACAGCCAAAUACUGGCCUGCUUCCUAUUUGUGGAGACAACUUGGGCUAUUUCUAGAAUGUCAUAUAAAGGGUAUCAUGCAGUAUUCUUCCUUUGCAUUUGUCAUUUUUCCUUCAGCAAAAUGUCUUUGAGAUUCAUACCUUGUAUGCAUGAAUAUAUUUUCCCUUUAUUGAUAAGUAGUAGUACACUGUAUGGAAAACUGGAGUUGGUUUAUGUAUCUGCUCAUUGAAUUCUAAAACAAUAAAAGAAGCUGGUGUGUGUACAAAGAGAAACAUAUAUCAUAACACACUACACCCUAAUACUGAUAGCAGUUAUUUGUAAAUGAUGGCAUUUGUGUAUCAUUGGAUUAAACUGAUUUGCAAAAGCACCUACUCCUCUAGACUGAGGAACUUAUUGUUUGUAAUAGUUCCAUCCCUUAGUGGUGUUUUUUUGUUAAUUUAUGCCAAAUGAUGUCAUUGAAUUAGAGGGGAAAUAAACAAGAGUUAGCAACUUGUUAACAAAAUAUUGGAAUGUCAUUCCUUAGAACAGUUUAUGCCAAAAUAUGUGUCAUAAAGUCCUAUGCAUACUACUCAGGGUCAUAGUGCAGGUGUUUUAGGUAGGGCUAUCCAAAAUAUAUUUUAAAAGAAAGGCCAAAUUCAAUCACAAAAUUUUAAAAACUGUAGUACUCAACACAGUGAUAGAGAGUGUUAUUGGCAUAAGAAAGGGCUUACAUAUCAAGAGAACAGAAUUCAGUCUAAAAAUAAACCCAUUCAUUUAUGGUCAAUUGAGUUUUAAAAUAACCAUAGUAAAACAAAUUUAACAAAAUUUAUCAUCUUUACCAUUUUGGUGACACUAAAUAUAUUCAUGUUGUGCAACCAUCACUAUCACCUAUUUACACAAUUAUUUCAUCUUGCAAAACUGAAGCCUCAUAUCCACUAAGUAAUAACUCCCCAUUAUUAUUAUGCUCUCUCCCCUUAGCUCUCAGCAACUAUUUAUUUUCUGUCUCUAUAAAUUUAACAACUCUAGGUACAUCAUAUAAACAAAAUAAUACAUUAUUUGUCUUUCUCUGACUGGCUUAUCUCACUUGGCAUAAUGUCUUCAAAUUCAUCCAUGUUGUAACAUGUAUUAGAAUCCCCCCCCUUUUUUAAACUGAAUAAUAUUCUUGUGUAUGUAAAUACUACUUUUUGUCCAUCCAUUUAUCCAUUGAUAGAUGAGUGUAUCUUAGAGCUAUUGUAAGUAAUACUGCUAUGAACAUGGGUGUACAAAUAUCUAUUUUAGUCCUUUCAAUUAUUUUGGUUAUAAAUCUAGAUGUCCUUUUUUUUUUUAUAGUGGCUGCACAUUUUUAUAUUCCCACCAAUAAUGCAGAGUUCCAAUUUCUCCACAUUCUUUCCAACACUUGUACUUAAAGUUAUUUCUAAUAGUAGCUCUCUUCAUAAGUUUGAAGUGACAUCUAAUUGUUAUUUUGAUUUGCAUUUCUCUGGGGAAUUAGUGAAGUUGAGCAUCUUUUCAUAUGUAUAUUAGCCAUUUCUAUGUCUUGCUUGGAGAAAUGUCUGUGUAGUCAUUUUGCCUUUUUAAAAAAAAAAUCAGGUUGUUGAGUUGUAGUUCUUUAUAUUAAUUCAGGAUAUCAAUCCUUUAUCAGAUGUAUGAUAUGCAACUACUUUCUCAUAUACUCAUAUUUAUUUGAGACACCCAUAAGUAAUACAUGUUUAUGUAGGCUACAUUUUUACUCUAUUCUUUGUGUUUUGGGGGGCGUAGGUGUUAAUUUUGGUAAAGUAGUCCAAUUUAUUUGUUUUCUUUGUUUGAGGUGUCAUAUCCAAGAAAUUAUUGCCAAACCAGGUGUCAUAAAGUUUUCCUUGUAGGUUUUCUUCUAAGAAUUUGAUAGUUCUUGAUGUUACAUUUAGGUUCUUUGGGUUACCGUUUUUAUGUAGUUUAAGAGUCCAACUUCAUUCAUUUACAUGUAUGCAUCUGGUUUUCCCAAAACCAUUUGCUGAAAAGACUGUUCUUUCACCAAUCAAUAGUCUUUGUGCCCUUGUGAAAAAUCACUUGACCAUAUACAUGAAGAUUGAAUUCUUGGCUCUCUAUUCUAUUCCAUUGGUCUAUAUUGUCUGUCUUUAUUUCAAAGGGAGAAGAGUGAGUGAUCUCCCAUCCAUUGUGUUACUGCCAAAUGCUCACAACAGCUGGAGCUGGGUGAGGCCAAAUGUGGGAGCCAGGAAUUAAAUCAGAGUGGCACGAUGCAACUCACCUGCUGCCUCCCAGGGUACACAUUAGCAGAAAGUUGGAAUCUGGAAUAGAGAUGGGACUUGAACCCAGGCAACUCUGAUAUGGGAUGCAAGCAUCACAAGCAGCAUAUUUUUUUUAAGAUUUAUGUAUUUAUUUGAAAGUCAGAGUUACACAGAGAGAGGAGAGGCAGAGAGAGAGAGAGAGGUCUUCCACCUGAUGGUUCACUCCCCAAUUGGCCGCAACGGCUAGAGCUGGGCCAAUCCGAAGCCAGGAGCCAGGAGCUUCUUCCAGGUCUCCCACGUGGGUGCAGGAGCCCAAGGACUUGGGCCAUCUUCUACUGCUAUCAUCCCAAGAAGCAUAUUAACCACUGUGUCAAGUGCCUACCUCAGAUUUUUCUAUUAAAAAAAAAUGUUGGGGCCGUAACGGGUAGAGCUGCCGCCUGCACUGCUGGCUUCCCUUAUGGACACUGGUGUGAGUCUCGGCUGUUCCACUUCCCAUCCAGCUCUCUGCUAUGGCCUGGGAAAGCAGUAAAAGAUGGCCCAAGUCCUUGGGCCCCUGCACCCACGUGGGAGACCCGGAAGAAGCUCUUGGUUCCUGGCUCCUGGCUUCGGAUUGGCGCAGCUCAGCCUUUGUGGCCAACUGAGGAGUGAACCAGCAGAUGGAAGACCUCUCUCUCUGCUUCUCCUUCUCUCUGUGUGUAACUCUGACUUUCAAAUAAAUAAAUAAAUCUUUAAAAAAAUGUUGCUUGUAUUUAGAUAUGGAUUACCUUAAAUCUGUAGAACACUGUAGGUAUUACUGAUAUCUUAACUAUAUUAACAAUCUACAAACACCAGAAUUAUUACUGUUUAUUAAUUCCUUUAAGCACUGCUUUGUAGUUUUAAAUGCACAAGUCUUUUACCUCUGUCUUAGUCUGUUAGAGCAGCUAUGACAAAAUACCGUAAAUUAGGUGGGUUAUAAACAACAGAUUUUUCACAGCUCUGAAGACUGGGAAGUCCAGGAUCAAGGUGUCAGCAUAUUAUGUGUUUGGUGAGGGCCCAUUUUCAUGUCUGAUGCCUUCUUCCUGUGUCCUCAUAUAGUAGAAGAGACAGUGCAGUUCUCUGGAACUUCUUUCACAAGGGCACUAAUGCCAUCCACAAGGGCUCCACCCUCAUGACUUAACAUCUUGCAAGUACCAACCUCAUUGAGUGAUUAGGUUUCAAAUAUGAGUUUGGGGGAGACACUAACAUUCAGACCAUUGCAGCUUCCUUGGUUAGGUUUAUUAUUAAAUAUUUUAUUUUUUUAAUUUAUAUUAUAAAUGGAACUGUUUGCUUAAUUUCACUUUCAGAUUUUUCAGUGUUAAUGUAUUGAAAUAGAAUUGACUUUUGCAUGUUUAUUUUGUACCUUGAAACUGAUCAAUUUCUUUAUUAAAAUUAAUUCUAAGGUUUUUCUAUAAAAUAUAGUAUUUUCUCCAUACAAGAUCAAGUCUCUGCAAACAGAUAAUUUCACUUCUUCCCUUCAAAUUUUGAUGCCUUUCACUUCCCUUUUCUUUCCUAAUUGCUCUGACUAGUGCUUCCAAUAAUAUGUUGAAUACAAGUGGUGAAAACGGGCAUCCUUUUCUGUUCCUGUUCUCUCAGGAAAAAUCUUUUUUUUUUUUUAAGAUUUUUUAAAAAUUUAUUUAAAAGGCAGAGUUACAGAGAAAGGGAGUGAUAAAGAGGUCUUCCAUCUGCUGGUUCACUCCCCAGAUGGCUGCAAUGACCAGGGCUCUGCCAAGCUAAAGCCAGGAACCAGGAGUUUCAUCUCCACGUGGGUGGCAGGAGCCCAAGUACUUGGGCCAUCUUCCACUGCUUUUCCCAGGCCAUUAGCUGGGAGCUGGAUAGGAAGAGGAGUAGCCGGGACACGAACCAGCGCCCAUGUGGGAUGCAGAUGACAUAGGUGCUGGCCCCAGGAAUCAAUCUUUCAUCAUAGAGGAAGAUGAAACUUGUGAGAUUUUCAUAUAUGAUCUUUAUUAUGUUGAAGUAGAGUCCUUAUAUUUCUAGUUUGUUGAGUGUGUUUUUUUUCCUUUCAUCAUGAAAGGUUAUUGAAUUUUGUCAAAUGCUUUUUCUGCAUUAUUUGAGAUUAUUUUGUGGUUUUUAAUGUGGUAUAUUACAUUGAUCAGUUUUCUUCUGUAGAAACAUCCUAGCAUUCCAGGAAUAAAUCUCACUUGAUUAUGGUUUAUAGUCCUUUUAAUGCUCUUACAUUUUGUUUGCCGGUACUUUGUUCAGGACCUUUGCAUCCACAUGCGUCAUUGAUAGUAGUAUAAUUUUUCUUUCCUGUAAUAUUUUUGUCUGGUUUUGGGAUCACAGUAAUAGUGUCCUCAUAGAGUGAGUUUAAGAGAGUUAUAUCUAACUUUUUACAAAACAUACAGAUUGAAAAGGGAGAAAUAGAACUAUUUUUAUUUGUAGAUGAUGUGUUCCUAUAUGUAGAACAUUCUCGAAAACUGAAUAAAAAUCUACUAGAACAAAAAAGAAGUACAUCAAGUAUCAGGAUACAAGAUCAAUAUGCAAAAUCAAUAUGCAAAAAUAUUUAUACACUAUCAAUAAACAACCUAAAAUUAAUUAUAAAGAUUACCCUCUUUAUAACAUUAGAAAGCUCCUGGUAAUAAAUUUAACAAAAUAAGUAUAUGAUUUUUAUAUUGAAAACUAUACAUUGUUGAAAAAUUGAAGAAGAGCUUAAUUGAAAAAAUAUCCCAUGUUUGUGGAUCAGAAAACUUAAUAUUGUUAAGAUAGCAACAUUCCCCAAAUUGAUCUACAGAUUCAAGGCAUACUAUAUAAAAAAGUGAAUCAAAAUGUAUCAGAAAGUAAAGGUAGGCACUUAUAUAUUCUUUGAUGAAAACAUAACCAUAAAUCUGUAUGAUCUUGGAUUAGGCAAAUAUUUCCUAGAUAGGAGACAUACCAAAUUCACAACAAAAAGCAAAAAGUAUAUACACUGGACUUCAUCAAAAUGUAAAUCUUUUGUGCUUCAUGGACACCAUCAAGAAAAUGAAAGAUGACCCACAGAAUGGGAAAAAAAUUAAAAUAGUAUAUUUAAUGAAAUCCCUUAUUCUAGAAUAUAUAAGGAAAUCUUAAAACUCAAUUCUAAAAUGGCAACCCAACUAAAACCAGAAAAACAAAAGAAGAGUUAUCUAAACAGGCAUUUCUCCAGAGAAAAUAGUUACAUUGCAAAUAAGCACCUGAAGAGAUGCUUAUUAGAGAAUGUAAAAAAAUAGGAAAUUGCAAUCAAAACCACAAUGAGAUGCCCCUGCAAGUGCAAUAGAAGGACUAUAAUAAAAAAUCAGGACAAUAACAAUUAAUGGUGAAUAGAUUAAGGAAUUGAGACUUUCACACAUUGCUGGUAGGAAUGUAAGAUGGUGUGGCCACUCUGGAAAUAGUUUAAUUCUAAAUUCUUAAGCAAGAGUUUCCAUAUGACUCAGCAAUUCCAUUCCCACUUAUAUACUUAAAAGAAAUGAAAACAUAUGCUUGCAAAAAAACCCUCUUAUAUAUGAAUGUUCAUAGUGACACCAUCUGUAACAGCUUAAAACUAGAAAUGAUCCAGUGUCUGCCAGCUGAUGAAUGGAUAAAUAAUAUCUGAUUUAUCCAUACAAUGGAAUAUUAUUCAUCAAUACAAAUAAAACAGUAAUGUAUAUUACAACAUGGAUGAACCUUGAAUAUAUUAUGCUAAAUAGAACCAGUUUACAAAAUAGCUUAUGUUGUAUAAUUAUGUUCACAUGAAAUGUCCAGAAUAGUCAAAUUUAUAGAAAUAGAAAGUAGAUUGGUAGUCACCUAGGACUGAGUUUUUUGGGGGUAGACAAGAAUAAGUGACUGCUAUGAGAAAAAGUGGUUAAAAUAUUCUAAAACCAUGUGGGCACCUGCCACUCACAUGUGAGACCCAGAUGGAGAUCCAGGCUCCUGGCUUCGGCUUUGCCCAAUCCUAUCCAUUGCAACCAUUUGGAAGUGAGUCAGUGGAUGGAAGAUCUCUCUCUCUCUCUCUCUCUCUCCCUCUCUCUCUCUCUCUCUCUCUCUCUCUCUGCGUGUGUGUGUGUGUGUCCCUGUCUCUCUGUAACUCUACCUUUCAAAUAAAUAAAUCUUUACAAAAAUAAGAAGGAAGAAAAAACCACCUGAAAUUGUUACAGGAAACAAUGCUGAGAGAUCAUAGAAGGCAGAGAACACUGCCCAUGGAAUACUCUAAUAGCACAAGUGGAAUACCUCAUAUAUCAAAGGGCAAGGAUUAGAGUAAUAAAAAAGUUCUAAUUUCAGUAGUGGGUAAAAUAGCUAUGACUAUAUUCUAGCUCUGUUCAUUCCUAGCAAAGUUUAAAACAAGGUACAAAAAUAUUAAUUCCAAAGUAUGCUAACUGCAUUGCAGAAUAAAUGUCAAGAACAUUUAUAAGAAGAAAAAAAUCCAGAACACAAGUGAAAAUUUACACUGGCAUCCAAUUAUAAAAUAAUAGGUAUGAAAAGACAUGGGAAAAUAAUUAUGAGAAAAAUGAAUCAAGUAAAACUAACUCCAAAAUGACAAUUACUGCAACAUUAGUAAACAGGGAUAUAGAAACCAUUACUGUAACUAUUUCAUCAGCUCAGGGCAUUAGAGAAAAUGCUGCACAUGUUAAGCAAAUCAUACAAGAUUAAAAAAAAAAAGACAAGUGAUGAGAAUUCUUCAGAUAGAAUUAAUGUCAGAUUAGACUUUGCAAAAACAAACAAAAAAAAGAACCAACUAGUGAAUUUUUUGAAACCACAAUAGAAAAUGUCCAAAUGAGGUUCCAAGAUGGCAGAAUAGGGAGAGAGCAUACUGAUCUAGUCUAGGAGAAGAUAGUUUUUAAAAAGUGGAGAGAGUGCAGCCUCAGGGAAGAGUUAGGGAGAAAACGGCAGAGGAAACUAACAAAUUAGAGGGACACGGUGGACCUAUGUGAAGGGUGUAGACACCCACAACUCAGGACUCUGGCAGCCAAGAGCCUAUGCACUAGCAUUGGAAAGUGAGGUGAGACCAGACCGCAGCAGCCCAGGCCACUGGCAAUAAAGCUGCAGGAAGAGCCUAGAGGAAACCCAGCUUGCAGCCCAAUGGAGAAUAGUAUACCUGCCAAACUAGAGGAGAAAAAAAAGGGACAUGUUUAUCUCUCCCCAAUCACUUUACAACAAGCGUCCUGUAACAAGCCAAUAAAGCGGGCACCAUUUUGGACAUAUGUAACAGCUGGGUGCUCAUGACAGUGGGAGGCUUGUGUGCAGGGGCUGUGAAAAAAAAAAACUGAGGCUGUGUGGGAGGACUCACAGAGUGGCUGGGACUUUGGGCAGUCACUGUGGGAGACUGUCCAUACUCAGGGCUUCCUGGUUACUUGGUGAGAGACUUUGCUGGGGAAUCUGAGCUUACACUGAGGACUGCACAGAUCCUUUGUGUGGUCCUUGGGGCAGAGCAGACGAAUAUUAUACCCCCUGGAGCUAGUGCUCAGGCACUGAUCUCCUUUGAAGAGAGGAGCUCAGCUGAGCAGAAUAAACUUCCGUUCUGAUUAAAAAAAAGAGAGAGAGAGAGAUUUACCACAAAACCUGGAGUGUAUCACCUUAGACAUGCCCAUCACCGUGGAGAACUGAACAGAGCUCCCUGGCCACAAACCACUAUAAGCCUCUAGUUAUUCACUGAAACCAGACAUUCCACUUAUCUACAGAGGAAUAGUACAAAGAUUAAAAACCUCCACAGCAAAAAAUAAAUAAAUAAAAUAAAAAUAAAAACAAAGAAGAAACCGAGUAUUUCCACAAAUGCAAAAAAAAAAAAUGCAGCAAUUCAAGAAACAAGAAUAAGGAAGACAACAUGACACCCCUGAAGGAACACAACACUUCAAUACUAGAAUGUGAAGAUGAUGAGAUUGAAGAAAUGCAAGAAAUGGAAUUCAAAAAAUUGAUCACAAGAUUACACAGAAGUAAUCAAAAGCAAAUGCAUGAACUACUAAAAUGUGUACAGAACAUGAAAGAAAAUUUCUCCCUUAAAAUUGAGAUCUUAAAGAGAAAACAAAAUGAAAUGAAGAAUUCAAUAGAACAAAUAAAAAAUACAGUGGGGAGCCUUAACAACAUAAUCGGUGAAGCAGAAGAAAAGAAUAUUGGACUUAGAAGACAAAGCACAGGAAAUUAUAUGGUCAAACCAAAAACAAGAAGAGGAAACUAGAAAACUAAAAAACACUGUGAGGAUUUUCAGGAUAUUAUCAAACAAACCAAAAUAUGGGUUCUAGGAGUUCCUGAAGGUGUGGAAAGCGGGAAAGGAUUAGAAGGCCUUUUUAGUGAAAUAAUAAUAAAAUUGAAUUAAAAAAUACAAAAAAUCAGCAAAAAAUCAGUUUAUUUUUUGAAAAAAUAAAAUUGACACACUAUUGGCCCAACUAACCAAAAAAAGGAGAGAGAAGACCCAAAUCAAUAAAUUUAGAGAUGAAAAAGCAAAUGUAACAACAGACACCACAGAAGUAAAAAGAAUCAUCAGAAACCACUACAAAGAGCUAUUUGCCAAGAUACUGGGAAACCUAGAAGAAAUGGAUAGAUUCCUGGAUACAUACAGCCUACCUAAAUUGAGCCAAGAAGACAUAGAAAACCUAAACAGACCUAUAACCAAGAGAGAAAUUGAAUCAGUAAUAAAGGCCCUCCUCAAAGGAAAGGCCCAGGACUGGAUGGCUUCACUGCUGAAUUCUACCAGAUAUUUAAAUAACUCCAACUUUUCUCAAGUUAUUCAAAAACAACUGAAAGGAAAGGAAUCUUCCCAAAUUGUUUAUAAAAAAAGAUUUAAUUAUUUAUUUAUUUAUUGGAAAGGCAGAGUUACAGACAGGCAGAGAGAGAAAGAGAGAGGUCUUCGAUCUGCUGAUUCACUUCCCAAGUGGCUCCAAUGGCUGAGAUGGGCCAAUCUGAAGCCAGGAGCCAGAACCUUCCUCUGGGUCUCCUAUAUGGGUGCAGGGGCCCAAGGACUUGGGCCAUCCUCCACUGUUUUCCCAGGCCAUAGCAGAGAGCUGGAUGGGAAGUGGAGCAGCCGGGACCCAAACUGGCACCCCUUUGGAAUGCCGGCACUGUAGGUAAUGGCUUUACCCGCUAUGCCACACUGAUAUGCCAUAGCGCUGGCCCCCCCAAAUUCUUUCUAUGAAGCCAGUAUCACCUUAAUUCCUAAACUGGAAAAAGAUUCAACAGAGAAAGAGAAUUACAGAUUAAUUUCUCUAAUGAACAUAGAUGCAGAAAUCCUCAACAAAAUCUAGCCAAUUGAAUCCAACAACACAUCAGAAAGAUCAUCCACCCAGACCAAGUGUGAUUUAUCCCUGGUAUGCAGGGAUGGUUCAACAUUCACAAAUUAAUGUGAUACAUCACAUUAAUGAAUUGCAGAACAAAAACCAUAUGAUUAUCUCAAUAGAUGCAGAGAAAGCAUUUGAUAAAAUACAACAUCCUUUCACGAUGAAAACCCUAAACAGAUUGGGUAUAGAAGGAACAUUCCUCAACACAAUCAAGGCAAUUUAUGACAAACCCAUGGCCAGUGUCCUAUUGAAUGGUGGAAAAUUGGAAACAUUCCCACUGAGAUCUAGUACCAGACAAGGAUGCCCACUCUUACCAUUGCUCUUCAAUAUAGUCCUAGAAGUUUUAGCCAGAACCAUUAGGCAAGAAAAAGAAAUCAAAGGGACACAAAUUGGGAAAGAAGAAGUCAAACUAUCCUUAUUUGCAGAUGACAUGAUUCUGUAUGUAGGGGAUCCAAAAGACUCCACUAAGAGACUAUUGGAACUCAUAAAAGAGUUUAGUAAAGUAGCAGGACAUAAAGUCGACACACAAAAAUCAACAGCCUUUAUAUACACAGACAAUGCCAAGGCUGAGAUCGAGCUUAGAAGCUUAGAUGAAUCCAGUUCACAAUAGCUACAAAAAAAAAUUAAAUACCUCAGAAUAAAUUUAACCAAGGAUGCCAAAGAUAUCUUUGAAGAGAAUUACAAAACAUUAAAGAAAGAAAUAGAAGAUACAAAAAAAAUGGAAAAAUCUUCCAUGCUCAUGGAUUGGAAGAAUCAAUAUCAUCAAAAUAUCCAUUAUUCCAAAAGCAAUUUACAGAUUCAAUGUGAUACCAAUCAAAAUACCAAAGACGUUCUUCUCAGAUAUAGAAAAAAUGAUGCUGAAAUUCAUAUGGAGGCACAGGAGACCUCAAGUAACUAAAGCAAACUUAUACAACAAAAAGCUGGAGGCAUCACAAUACCAAAUUUCAAGACAUACUACAGGGCAGUUAUAAUCAAAACAGUCUGGUACUGGUACAAAAACAGAUGGAUAGACCCCUGGAACAAAAUAGAAAUGCCAGAAAUCAAUCCAGCAUCUAAAACCAACUUAUAUUUGUCCGAGGAGCUAAAACCAAUCCCUGGAGUAAGGACAGUCUCUUCAACAAAUGGUGCUGGGAAAACUGGGUUUCCACAUGCAGAAGAAUGAAGCAGGAACCCUACCUUACACCUUACACAAAAAUCCACUCAGCAUGGAUUAAAGAUCUAAAUCUAUGACCUGACACCAUCAAAUUAGAGAACUUUGGGGAAACCCUGAAAGAUAUAGGCACAAGCAAAGACUUCUUGGAAAAGACCCCAGAGGCACAGGCAGUCAAAGCCAAAACUAACAACUGGGAUUACAUCAAAUUGAGACGUUUCUGUACAGCAAAAUAAACAUUCAAGAAAGUGAAGAGGCAACCGACAGAAUGGGAGAAUGUAUUUGCAGACUAUGCAACUGAUAAAGGAUUAAUAACAGAAUAAAGAGAUCAAGAAAAUCUACAACAACAAAACAAACAACCCAGUUAAGAGAUGGGCCAAGGACUUAAACAGACAUUUUUCAAAAGUGGAAAUCCAAGUGGCCAACAGACACAUGACAAAAUGAUCAGGAUCACUAGCUAUCAGGGAAAUGUGAAUCAAAACCACAGCGAGGUUUACCUCACCCCUGUUAGAGUGGCUUUCAUACACAAAUCAACAAACAACAAAUGCUGGGGAGGAAGUAGGGGGAAAUGUACCCUAACCUUGUGUUGGUGGGAAUGAAAACAGGUAAAGCCACUAUGGAAGACAGUAUGGAAAUACCUCAAAAAAUCUGAAUAUAGACCUACCAUAUGACCCAGCCAUCUCACUCUUGGGAAUUUAUCCAAGGGAAAUGAAAUCAGUAAAUAGAAGAGUUAUCUGCACCUCCAUGUUUAUUGCAGCUCAAUUCACAAUAGCUAAGACAUGGAGUCAACCUAAAUUCCCAUCAAUUGAAUACUGGAUAAAGAAAUUAUGGAAUAUGUACACCAUGGAAUACUACACAGUGGUAAAAAAUGAAAUCCUGUCAUUUGCAACACAAUGGAUGAAUCUGGAAAAUAUCAUACUUAGUUAAAUAAGCCAGUCCCAAGGGGCAAAUACCAUAUGUUCUCUCUGAUCUGUGAGAACUAAUAGAACACCUAAAAGGAAAUCUGUAUAAGUGAAAUUGACACUUCAAGAAGGAAUGACUUGAGCUGCCCUUGUCUUGAUUGUUGAUAGCUUCACUUUCGAUUGUUUGGUUUUUUUUUUUUUCAUACUAUUUGUUGAACUCUUUACUUAACAUACAGUUAAUUAUAUAUGUAUGAAGUCAAUUGAGGAUGGAUCUCAGUAAAAAUUAAGAGUAGGAAUAAGAAAGGAGGAGGAAGUUUGUAACUGUAAAGCUGUAUAGUUCUGCAUACAUUUCUACGGACUUACUUCUAAGGAUACAGUUUAAAAACUUGUCAUAGGACUCCAAUCCAAUUAAGAUUGGUAGUAAAAAUGCCAUCUUAAUUGUUAAAGUGAUCAUAUUAAGUGUUAAAGGAACAUAUAGAUAGGAUUAAGUGUUAAAGUAAUCAUAUACAUAAGAUCAAGUAUCUGACAAUAACAAUAGACAGAAUUAAAAAGGAGGGAAUGUUCCAACAUGGGAAGCAGUCACACAGCAGACUCAGAAUGACGAUCGCUUUAAGUAACACUCUGACCUCAGAAUCAGCCCUUAAGGCUUCAUGGUCUGGCUGAAAAGCCUAUGAGAGCAUUUCAGGCAUGGCAAGCCAAGUCACUAUGGCAAAAAAAGUUCUACAUGAAAGAUCUCUGUGAGACCCCAGCAGAAAGAAGUGGCCAUCAAAGAAGGAUGUACUUUUUUCUAAAGGGAGAAGAGAGCUUCCACUUUGCUUAUGGCCUUAUCUAAAUACUGACAGAGUUUGUAGACUCAAAAGGCUUCCAUAGCCUUGACAUGAGCUGUCAAGGUGAUCACCGGCUGCUGGUGAUCACUGAUGUCAUACAUAAGAGUGUUAAUUGUUAAACUAACAACAAGAAUCACUGUGCACUAACUCCCCAUGCAGGACUUCUGUCCUCAAUGAGUUGUAUUAUGAGAGUUAACUGUAAAACUAGUUUUCAGGAGCUGGAGCUGUGGCAUAGCCAGUAAAGCCGCCACCUGAAGUGCCAGAAUCCCAAAUGGGGGCUGGUUUGAAACCCAGCUGCUCCACUUCUGAUCCAGCUCUCUGCUGUGGCCUGGGAAAGCAGUAGAAGAUGGCCCAGGUACUUGGGCCCCUGCACCCACGUGGGAGACCCAGAGGAAGCUCCUGGCUUCUGACUUCGGAUCAGCACAGCUCCAGCCAUUGUGGCCAUUUGGGGAGUGAACCAGCGGAUGGAAGACUUUCUCUCUCUCUCUCUCUCUCUCUCUAUCUAUCUAUCUCUCUCUCUCUCUCUAUCUCAACUCUGACUUUCAAAUAAACAAAUAAAUCUUUUUUAAAACAAAACUAGUUAUUGGCCGGCACUGCGGCUCAAUAGGCUAAUCCUCCACCUGUGGCGCCGGCACACCAGGUUCUAGUCCCGGUCGGGGCACUGGAUUCUGUCCCUGUUGCCCCUCUUCCAGUCCAGCUCUCUGCUAUGGCACGGGAGUGCAGUGGAGGAUGGCCCAAGUACUUGGGUCCUGCACCCGCAUGGGAGACCAGGAGAAGCACCUGGCUCCUGGCUCCUGGCUUUGGAUCAGCGUAGUGCGCCGGCCGAAGCGGCCAUUGGAAGGUGAACCAACGGUAAAGGAAGACCUUUCUCUCUGUCUCUCUCACUGUCCACUCUGCCUGUCAAAAAAUAAAUAAAUAAAAUAAAAAUAAUAAAAACAAAACUAGUUCUCAAACUGUGUGUGUGUGUAUAUGUGUAAGCAAAUUGUUGAAAUCUUAGUAUAGAGUCGGUCUCCUGUGUACAGUUAAUUUGAAAAAAGAAUCUUAAUGGAGAAUGGGACUGGGAAGGGGACAAGGAGGAGGGGUGGGAGUGUGGGUUGGAGGUUGGGUAUGGUGGGAAGAAUAACUAUCCCUAAAGUUGUACUUAUGAAAUUUGUAUUCCUUAAAAAAUAAAUUUAAAAAUGGUAUAAGAAAAAAAAGAAUAAACCAUUUUGGCAAGCUCAAAAAAAAUGUCCAAAUGAAACACAAAGUCCAAUUUUUAAGAAGACUGAUUGUGAAAAGGUCAGAUCAACAGUGAGCCUUCUGACAACUUCAAAUGGCCAAAUAUACAUGAAAUCACCGUCCCCAGAGGAGAGGGAAAAGAGUGAUAAAAAAUAUUUGAAGUAUUAAUGGCUAAAAUUUUUCCAAAUUUGAUAUAAGCCAUAAACGUGCUGAUGAAGGAAGUUCAGUGAAUCCCAAGGGUAACAAAAAUGAAGGAAAAAAAAAAACCACCAUAGUAAUUCAUUUGAAAUUGUUUAAAGAGACAAAUGGGAUAUUAUAUCAAAAUAAGAAGUUUCUGCAUAGUAAAGAAAUUACUUAAAACUAGUCCUAAAUAGAAAAUCACUUAAAAAUUAGCUAGAGGAUAAAAGGCAGAAUAGUAAAGCUAUGAUUAACAUCAGAUUUCUCAUCAGAAAAAAUUCAAGCAGUAACUGAUAGAUACAGAAUAGAAUUGUGAUUGCUAGGACUUGGCGAAGUGUGGAAUGGGGAAAUGCUGUUCAAAGGGUAAAAAAUUUCAGUUAUCAGAUGAAUAUGUUCUGGGAAUCUAAUUUACAGCAUGGGUGAUUAUAGAAGUGCUAAUUAAUUUGUAGUAAUCAUUAUAUAAUGUAUGCAUUUAUAAAAUCAUCAGGUUGUACAACUUGAACAUGUACGCUCUUUGUCAAUUAAAUAUUUUUAAAUAAGGAAAAGUACAAGACAAGAUAAUGGGGUAAUGUCUUUAAAGUACUGGAAGAAAAUAGAAUGGUAAACUUAGAUUUGUCAGUAAAAAUCUCUUCCAAAGUCAAAUAUUUUCCCAGAAAUAAAAUAAUCUGAAAUCAUUAAUCAUGAGUGGACCUCUUUUGCAACAGGCACUAAGUGAUAAGUGAAUUCCUUCAAACAUAGGGAAAACUACAUGAGAUGGAAAAUCUGGAUCUAAAUGAAGAGUGAAAAAUGAAGAAAUGGAAAAUGCUUUGUGAAUGUAAAUAUUUUUUCUUAUUGUGCAAAUAUUACUAAAACAUAAUCCACUAUUUAAAUAAAGUACAAGGGGGUCUGUAACACAUGCAGAAUUAUAAUAUAACAAUAUUGUGAGAGGUCUUCAAAAACUUCAUGAAAAUAUGUGUUAUGAAAAAGCUGUGUGUGGGGGCUGGUGCUGUGGCGCAGUGGGUACAGCCACUGCCAGCAGUGCUGGCGUCCCAUAUGGGUGCUGAUUCGAGUCCAGCUGCUCCAAUUCUGAUCCAGCUCUCUGCUAUGGCCUGGGAAAGCAGUAGAAAAUGGCCCAAAUCCUUGGGCUCCUGCAUUCAUGUGGGAGACCCAGAAGAAGCUCCUGGCUCCUGGCUUUGGAUCAACAGCUCCAGCCGUUGUGGCCAACUGGGAAGUGAACCAGCGGAUGAAAGACCUCUCUCUCUUUUUCUUUCUCUUUCUCUCUCUCUGUAACUCUGCCUUCAAAUAAAUAAAUAAAUCUUAAAAUAAAUCAAUAAAUAAAAUAUUUGCUUUAUAAUAAAAAGCUAUGUGUGAAUUACAAACAUUUUUUGCACAAAAAUAAACUUAUCUUUUAAUUCAAUUUUCCAUGAACUUCUUGAAGAAGUUAUAGUCCAUAUUCUUAGAGGAAAGAAAUAUAAACAUGAUGUUGUAAGUUUCUUAUGCAAUAUGAAAUAACAUACCAUCACUUGAAGUUAGACUAUAACAAAUCAAAAAAUAUAUUCUAUAAAACUGAAAGAAACUCCUACUUAAUACAAUAGUUACAGCUAAAAGCUAACAGUGCCCACAAAUACAAUCAUACAAAAUACUCAAUUAUUCUGAAAGAAGGUAAAAAGAGAAAAAAAAGAAUAAUGUGCAGGUGGAACACUUUAAAAAAUACCAAUAUGAUAACUGAAAAGUCAGGCACAAAAAUGUUCACACCAAUUGUAUAUGAUAUAAAUACCCAAAAUAAAAAAGCAAAGAUUGUCAGAUUGGAUGAAAAAGCAAUACAAAACCAUAUGCUGCCUAGUAGUAAUUAAAAAUAAAUGCAAAGAGGUUAAAAUAUGAAGCAAUUGAAAGUAAAACAAUGAAAAAAGACAUAACAUGGAAACACUAAAACAGGAAAAAUAGCUGUAUUUCAGACCAAAGAAUAUUACCAAGAAUAAAGACUAGUUCUUAAUGAUAAAAGUUCAAUUCUUUAAGAGGGCAAUAAAUUAUAAACCUUUAUGUGUCUGGUAAUAGAACCACAAAAUAGGUGAAACAAAAAUGGAUAAAAUUGAGAAGCUAAAUAGACAAGAUCAGACUCAUAGUUGGAUGUUUCUAUACCCUUCUCUCAAUACCUCAGGAAAAAAAUAACCAAAAAAUCGGACACAUGGAAGACUUGGAAAGCUCUAUGAAUUAACUUAGCCAUGCCCCUCCCCCUCAGGAAAAAAAAUUUCUGUUAAGUACAUACAUGAAGAAAUACUAUAUUUGGGCCCAUGAAACAAUUCUUAAUAUAUUUUUUAAAAAUCAAGUCACACAUGGGGCAGGUGCUGUGGCCCAGUGGGUUGGCGCCUUAGCCUGAAGUGCCAGUAUCCCAUAUGGGCGCCAGUUUGAGACCCGGCUGCUACACUUCUGAUCCAGCUGUCUGCUGUGGCCUGGGAAAGCAGUGGAGGAUGGCCCAAGUCCUUGGGUCCCUGCACCCGCGUGGGAGACCUGGAGGAGGCUUCUGGCUCCUGGCUUCAGAUCGGCACUGCUCCAGCCGUUGCAGCCAAUUGGAGAGUGAACCAUCCGGUGGAAGACACUCUCUCUCUCUCUCUCUCUCUCUCUCUCUCCCUCUCUCUCCCUC
Oryctolagus cuniculus (rabbit) is the source of this 19133-nucleotide non-coding RNA. The record is from RefSeq and is a predicted model, not a curated record. NCBI's taxonomy places the organism in Eukaryota, Metazoa, Chordata, Mammalia, Lagomorpha, Leporidae.